GGGUUGUGAGGUUAAGCGACUAAGCGUACACGGUGGAUGCCCUGGCAGUCAGAGGCGAUGAAGGACGUGCUAAUCUGCGAUAAGCGUCGGUAAGGUGAUAUGAACCGUUAUAACCGGCGAUUUCCGAAUGGGGAAACCCAGUGUGAUUCGUCACACUAUCAUUAACUGAAUCCAUAGGUUAAUGAGGCGAACCGGGGGAACUGAAACAUCUAAGUACCCCGAGGAAAAGAAAUCAACCGAGAUUCCCCCAGUAGCGGCGAGCGAACGGGGAGCAGCCCAGAGCCUGAAUCAGUGUGUGUGUUAGUGGAAGCGUCUGGAAAGGCGCGCGAUACAGGGUGACAGCCCCGUACACAAAAAUGCACAUGCUGUGAGCUCGAUGAGUAGGGCGGGACACGUGGUAUCCUGUCUGAAUAUGGGGGGACCAUCCUCCAAGGCUAAAUACUCCUGACUGACCGAUAGUGAACCAGUACCGUGAGGGAAAGGCGAAAAGAACCCCGGCGAGGGGAGUGAAAAAGAACCUGAAACCGUGUACGUACAAGCAGUGGGAGCACGCUUAGGCGUGUGACUGCGUACCUUUUGUAUAAUGGGUCAGCGACUUAUAUUCUGUAGCAAGGUUAACCGAAUAGGGGAGCCGAAGGGAAACCGAGUCUUAACUGGGCGUUAAGUUGCAGGGUAUAGACCCGAAACCCGGUGAUCUAGCCAUGGGCAGGUUGAAGGUUGGGUAACACUAACUGGAGGACCGAACCGACUAAUGUUGAAAAAUUAGCGGAUGACUUGUGGCUGGGGGUGAAAGGCCAAUCAAACCGGGAGAUAGCUGGUUCUCCCCGAAAGCUAUUUAGGUAGCGCCUCGUGAAUUCAUCUCCGGGGGUAGAGCACUGUUUCGGCAAGGGGGUCAUCCCGACUUACCAACCCGAUGCAAACUGCGAAUACCGGAGAAUGUUAUCACGGGAGACACACGGCGGGUGCUAACGUCCGUCGUGAAGAGGGAAACAACCCAGACCGCCAGCUAAGGUCCCAAAGUCAUGGUUAAGUGGGAAACGAUGUGGGAAGGCCCAGACAGCCAGGAUGUUGGCUUAGAAGCAGCCAUCAUUUAAAGAAAGCGUAAUAGCUCACUGGUCGAGUCGGCCUGCGCGGAAGAUGUAACGGGGCUAAACCAUGCACCGAAGCUGCGGCAGCGACGCUUAUGCGUUGUUGGGUAGGGGAGCGUUCUGUAAGCCUGUGAAGGUGUACUGUGAGGUAUGCUGGAGGUAUCAGAAGUGCGAAUGCUGACAUAAGUAACGAUAAAGCGGGUGAAAAGCCCGCUCGCCGGAAGACCAAGGGUUCCUGUCCAACGUUAAUCGGGGCAGGGUGAGUCGACCCCUAAGGCGAGGCCGAAAGGCGUAGUCGAUGGGAAACAGGUUAAUAUUCCUGUACUUGGUGUUACUGCGAAGGGGGGACGGAGAAGGCUAUGUUGGCCGGGCGACGGUUGUCCCGGUUUAAGCGUGUAGGCUGGUUUUCCAGGCAAAUCCGGAAAAUCAAGGCUGAGGCGUGAUGACGAGGCACUACGGUGCUGAAGCAACAAAUGCCCUGCUUCCAGGAAAAGCCUCUAAGCAUCAGGUAACAUCAAAUCGUACCCCAAACCGACACAGGUGGUCAGGUAGAGAAUACCAAGGCGCUUGAGAGAACUCGGGUGAAGGAACUAGGCAAAAUGGUGCCGUAACUUCGGGAGAAGGCACGCUGAUAUGUAGGUGAAGCGACUUGCUCGUGGAGCUGAAAUCAGUCGAAGAUACCAGCUGGCUGCAACUGUUUAUUAAAAACACAGCACUGUGCAAACACGAAAGUGGACGUAUACGGUGUGACGCCUGCCCGGUGCCGGAAGGUUAAUUGAUGGGGUUAGCGCAAGCGAAGCUCUUGAUCGAAGCCCCGGUAAACGGCGGCCGUAACUAUAACGGUCCUAAGGUAGCGAAAUUCCUUGUCGGGUAAGUUCCGACCUGCACGAAUGGCGUAAUGAUGGCCAGGCUGUCUCCACCCGAGACUCAGUGAAAUUGAACUCGCUGUGAAGAUGCAGUGUACCCGCGGCAAGACGGAAAGACCCCGUGAACCUUUACUAUAGCUUGACACUGAACAUUGAGCCUUGAUGUGUAGGAUAGGUGGGAGGCUUUGAAGUGUGGACGCCAGUCUGCAUGGAGCCGACCUUGAAAUACCACCCUUUAAUGUUUGAUGUUCUAACGUGGACCCGUAAUCCGGGUUGCGGACAGUGUCUGGUGGGUAGUUUGACUGGGGCGGUCUCCUCCUAAAGAGUAACGGAGGAGCACGAAGGUUGGCUAAUCCUGGUCGGACAUCAGGAGGUUAGUGCAAUGGCAUAAGCCAGCUUGACUGCGAGCGUGACGGCGCGAGCAGGUGCGAAAGCAGGUCAUAGUGAUCCGGUGGUUCUGAAUGGAAGGGCCAUCGCUCAACGGAUAAAAGGUACUCCGGGGAUAACAGGCUGAUACCGCCCAAGAGUUCAUAUCGACGGCGGUGUUUGGCACCUCGAUGUCGGCUCAUCACAUCCUGGGGCUGAAGUAGGUCCCAAGGGUAUGGCUGUUCGCCAUUUAAAGUGGUACGCGAGCUGGGUUUAGAACGUCGUGAGACAGUUCGGUCCCUAUCUGCCGUGGGCGCUGGAGAACUGAGGGGGGCUGCUCCUAGUACGAGAGGACCGGAGUGGACGCAUCACUGGUGUUCGGGUUGUCAUGCCAAUGGCACUGCCCGGUAGCUAAAUGCGGAAGAGAUAAGUGCUGAAAGCAUCUAAGCACGAAACUUGCCCCGAGAUGAGUUCUCCCUGACUCCUUGAGAGUCCUGAAGGAACGUUGAAGACGACGACGUUGAUAGGCCGGGUGUGUAAGCGCAGCGAUGCGUUGAGCUAACCGGUACUAAUGAACCGUGAGGCUUAACCUUACAACGCCGAAGCUGUU
RNAcentral lists this ribosomal RNA (2930 nucleotides) under Escherichia coli. RNAcentral's name for it is "23S ribosomal RNA". It matches the Rfam family "Bacterial large subunit ribosomal RNA". Lineage: Bacteria; Pseudomonadati; Pseudomonadota; Gammaproteobacteria; Enterobacterales; Enterobacteriaceae. The record is from RNAcentral.